RNAcentral lists this ribosomal RNA (2906 nucleotides) under Enterobacter hormaechei. Its description in RNAcentral is "23S ribosomal RNA". It matches the Rfam family "Bacterial large subunit ribosomal RNA". The record is from RNAcentral. Lineage: Bacteria; Pseudomonadati; Pseudomonadota; Gammaproteobacteria; Enterobacterales; Enterobacteriaceae.
GGUUAAGCGACUAAGCGUACACGGUGGAUGCCCUGGCAGUCAGAGGCGAUGAAGGACGUGCUAAUCUGCGAAAAGCGCCGGCGAGGUGAUAUGAACCUUUGACCCGGCGAUGUCCGAAUGGGGAAACCCAGUGCAAUCCGUUGCACUAUCGUUAACUGAAUACAUAGGUUAACGAGGCGAACCGGGGGAACUGAAACAUCUAAGUACCCCGAGGAAAAGAAAUCAACCGAGAUUCCCCCAGUAGCGGCGAGCGAACGGGGAGCAGCCCGGAGUCUGAAUCAGCUUGUGUGUUAGUGGAACGGUCUGGAAAGUCCGACGGUACAGGGUGAUAGUCCCGUACACGAAAGCACACAUGCUGUGAACUCGAAGAGUAGGGCGGGACACGUGGUAUCCUGUCUGAAUAUGGGGGGACCAUCCUCCAAGGCUAAAUACUCCUGACUGACCGAUAGUGAACCAGUACCGUGAGGGAAAGGCGAAAAGAACCCCGGCGAGGGGAGUGAAAAAGAACCUGAAACCGUGUACGUACAAGCAGUGGGAGCCUCUUUAUGGGGUGACUGCGUACCUUUUGUAUAAUGGGUCAGCGACUUAUAUUCUGUAGCAAGGUUAACCGUAUAGGGGAGCCGAAGGGAAACCGAGUCUUAACUGGGCGUUAAGUUGCAGGGUAUAGACCCGAAACCCGGUGAUCUAGCCAUGGGCAGGUUGAAGGUUGGGUAACACUAACUGGAGGACCGAACCGACUAAUGUUGAAAAAUUAGCGGAUGACCUGUGGCUGGGGGUGAAAGGCCAAUCAAACCGGGAGAUAGCUGGUUCUCCCCGAAAGCUAUUUAGGUAGCGCCUCGUGAAUUCAUCUUCGGGGGUAGAGCACUGUUUCGGCUAGGGGGCCAUCCCGGCUUACCAACCCGAUGCAAACUACGAAUACCGAAGAAUGUUAUCACGGGAGACACACGGCGGGUGCUAACGUCCGUCGUGAAGAGGGAAACAACCCAGACCGCCAGCUAAGGUCCCAAAGUCAUGGUUAAGUGGGAAACGAUGUGGGAAGGCACAGACAGCCAGGAUGUUGGCUUAGAAGCAGCCAUCAUUUAAAGAAAGCGUAAUAGCUCACUGGUCGAGUCGGCCUGCGCGGAAGAUGUAACGGGGCUAAACCAUGCACCGAAGCUGCGGCAGCGACGCUUAGGCGUUGUUGGGUAGGGGAGCGUUCUGUAAGCCGUUGAAGGUGUCCUGUGAGGGGUGCUGGAGGUAUCAGAAGUGCGAAUGCUGACAUAAGUAACGAUAAAGCGGGUGAAAAGCCCGCUCGCCGGAAGACCAAGGGUUCCUGUCCAACGUUAAUCGGGGCAGGGUGAGUCGACCCCUAAGGCGAGGCCGAAAGGCGUAGUCGAUGGGAAACAGGUUAAUAUUCCUGUACUUGGUGUUACUGCGAAGGGGGGACGGAGAAGGCUAUGUCAGCCGGGCGACGGUUGUCCCGGUUUAAGCAUGUAGGCGGAGGUUCCAGGUAAAUCCGGUACCUUAUUAACGCUGAGGUGUGAUGACGAGGCACUACGGUGCUGAAGUGAUAAAUGCCCUGCUUCCAGGAAAAGCCUCUAAGCAUCAGGUAACACGAAAUCGUACCCCAAACCGACACAGGUGGUCAGGUAGAGAAUACCAAGGCGCUUGAGAGAACUCGGGUGAAGGAACUAGGCAAAAUGGUGCCGUAACUUCGGGAGAAGGCACGCUGAUAUGUAGGUGAAGCCCCUGCGGGCGGAGCUGAAAUCAGUCGAAGAUACCAGCUGGCUGCAACUGUUUAUUAAAAACACAGCACUGUGCAAACACGAAAGUGGACGUAUACGGUGUGACGCCUGCCCGGUGCCGGAAGGUUAAUUGAUGGGGUUAGCGGCAACGCGAAGCUCUUGAUCGAAGCCCCGGUAAACGGCGGCCGUAACUAUAACGGUCCUAAGGUAGCGAAAUUCCUUGUCGGGUAAGUUCCGACCUGCACGAAUGGCGUAAUGAUGGCCAGGCUGUCUCCACCCGAGACUCAGUGAAAUUGAACUCGCUGUGAAGAUGCAGUGUACCCGCGGCAAGACGGAAAGACCCCGUGAACCUUUACUAUAGCUUGACACUGAACACUGGUCCUUGAUGUGUAGGAUAGGUGGGAGGCUUUGAAGCGUGGACGCCAGUCUGCGUGGAGCCAACCUUGAAAUACCACCCUUUAAUGGCUGGUGUUCUAACGUAGACCCGUAAUCCGGGUUGCGGACAGUGUCUGGUGGGUAGUUUGACUGGGGCGGUCUCCUCCCAAAGAGUAACGGAGGAGCACGAAGGUUGGCUAAUCCUGGUCGGACAUCAGGAGGUUAGUGCAAUGGCAUAAGCCAGCUUGACUGCGAGCGUGACGGCGCGAGCAGGUGCGAAAGCAGGUCAUAGUGAUCCGGUGGUUCUGAAUGGAAGGGCCAUCGCUCAACGGAUAAAAGGUACUCCGGGGAUAACAGGCUGAUACCGCCCAAGAGUUCAUAUCGACGGCGGUGUUUGGCACCUCGAUGUCGGCUCAUCACAUCCUGGGGCUGAAGUAGGUCCCAAGGGUAUGGCUGUUCGCCAUUUAAAGUGGUACGCGAGCUGGGUUUAGAACGUCGUGAGACAGUUCGGUCCCUAUCUGCCGUGGGCGCUGGAGAAUUGAGGGGGGCUGCUCCUAGUACGAGAGGACCGGAGUGGACGCAUCACUGGUGUUCGGGUUGUCAUGCCAAUGGCACUGCCCGGUAGCUAAAUGCGGAAGAGAUAAGUGCUGAAAGCAUCUAAGCACGAAACUUGCCCCGAGAUGAGUUCUCCCUGAGACUUUAAGUCUCCUGAAGGAACGUUGAAGACUACGACGUUGAUAGGUCGGGUGUGUAAGCGCAGCGAUGCGUUGAGCUAACCGAUACUAAUGAACCGUGAGGCUUAACCUU